Molecule: ribosomal RNA, 450 nt
Filed under: uncultured bacterium
Lineage: Bacteria
Description: bacterial SSU rRNA
Rfam family: Bacterial small subunit ribosomal RNA
Source: RNAcentral
CAGGCCUAACACAUGCAAGUCGAACGAGGACCCCGUCUUCGGACGGGACUCCUAGUGGCGGACGGGUGAGUAACGCGUGGGAACCUGCCCUGGAGUGGGGAAUAACCUGGGGAAACCUAGGCUAAUACCGCAUACGCCCCGCGGGGGAAAGGCUUCGGUCGCUCUGGGAGGGGCCCGCGUCGGAUUAGGUAGUUGGUAGGGUAACGGCCUACCAAGCCGGCGAUCCGUAGCUGGUCUGAGAGGAUGAUCAGCCACACUGGGACUGAGACACGGCCCAGACUCCUACGGGAGGCAGCAGUGGGGAAUAUUGGACAAUGGGGGAAACCCUGAUCCAGCAAUGCCGCGUGGGUGAAGAAGGCCUUAGGGUUGUAAAGCCCUUUCGCACGCGAAGAUGAUGACGGUAGCGUGAGAAGAAGCCCCGGCCAACUCCGUGCCAGCAGCCGCGGUAAU